AAUUAAGUACCUUUUCAAGUCAGAAUUACUUAUGGUUUGAUGAUAAAAAGUAUUUAAAAUUCUGUCAUCAUCUUUCUAGGGAAAGGAAAAGGUAAUUGGGGUUUAAACUUUUUUACUCUUGCAUGAUAAAACUCGACUUCAUUGCCUGAGGCACUGCUUGAUCAGUUAAUAUAUGAAGUUCUAUUUUAAUUCGUCCAUGAAAUGCGAAGGAAUUAGGGAGGUUGUUCCCUUCUACACUUAGGGGCUUAGCUCUUACCCUGUUGGCUGCG
Molecule: unclassified non-coding RNA, 269 nt
Filed under: Hevea brasiliensis (rubber tree)
Lineage: Eukaryota; Viridiplantae; Streptophyta; Magnoliopsida; Malpighiales; Euphorbiaceae
Source: RNAcentral